RNAcentral lists this ribosomal RNA (277 nucleotides) under uncultured bacterium. Its description in RNAcentral is "partial 16S ribosomal RNA". It matches the Rfam family "Bacterial small subunit ribosomal RNA", at positions 524 to 796 of the family's 1533-position model. The record is from RNAcentral.
UACGGAGGGGGUUAGCGUUGUUCGGAAUUACUGGGCGUAAAGCGCACGUAGGCGGAUCAGAAAGUUGGGGGGUGAAAUCCCGGGGCUCAACCCCGGAACUGCCUCCAAAACUCCUGGUCUUGAGUUCGAGAGAGGUGAGUGGAAUUCCGAGUGUAGAGGUGAAAUUCGUAGAUAUUCGGAGGAACACCAGUGGCGAAGGCGGCUAGCACUCGGUGCUGAUACUGAGCUGAGGUGCGAAAGUGUGGGGAGCAAACAGGAUUAGAUACCCGUGUAGUCC